GAGAAAUGUAGCGUAUAGAUGUGGCUAUCAGUUUGUGCUACAUAUCCAAGUCCCUUUGAUAGGGGCCAUAUUCCUGAGAGGGUGCGAGACCUGUGCGGAUAGUGGAGCAAGCUGUACGGCUAUAUCUUGGAGUCGGGUUGCUUGAAAAUGCAGCCUAAAGUGGGUGAUAAACUUCAUCUAAGGCUAAAUAUAGACGCGAAUUCGAUAGCAAACAAGUACUGUGAAGGAAAGUUGCAAAGAACUUUGAAGAGAGAGUUCAAGAGAACGUGAAAUCGCUGGAGUGGAACCGGAGAGAGUUGACGUAGUCGGGUAACUAAAAUCACCGGAGUCACUUAAAUGUGAUCGAGGCGUUUCUACGUUGCCUAUGACUGCGCUGACAGCACUGGCUGUGCGUUCCGAACCGUUUGCGUUGCCCAUCGUUUUCAUUACGGUGGUGUCUUGUUUACGGUUAGGUUUGUCAUGAUGCUAGUGUUUUAUCCUGUUUCUAAGGCAGGGUGUCAGUGUGAAAGUCGACCACCUCUCCGACCCGUCUUGAAACACGGACCGAGGAGUGUAACUUGUACGCGAGUCAAAGGGUGAAAAACCCCACGGCGAAAUGAAAGUAAAGGUCGGUUAACCGGCUACCAUGGGAUCCGUUUUUUUUUUUCGUAACGGCGGCGCACCAUGGCCCUGUCUCGCCUGCUUGCAGAUGGGCAGCGGUAGAGCGUACAGGUUGCGACCCGAAAGAUGGUGAACUAUGCCUGAGCAGGACGAAGUCAGAGGAAACUCUGGUGGAAGUCCGUAUCGGUUCUGACGUGCAAAUCGAUCGAUAGACUUGGGUAUAGGGGCGAAAGACUAAUCGAACCAUCUAGUAGCUGGUUCCCUCCGAAGUUUCCCCCAGGAUAGCUGGAGCUCUAUACACGGUUAUAUCCGGUAAAGCGAAUGAUUAGAGGACUUGGGGUCGAAACGACCUCAACCUAUUCUCAAACUUUCAAUGGGUAUGUUGUCUCGGUUUCUUUACUGAACUGUUGACACGAACGUGAGCUCCAAGUGGGCCAUUUUUGGUAAGCAGAACUGGCGCUGUGGGAUGAACCAAACGUUGGGUUAAGGUGCCUAACUUCUCGCUCAUGAGACCCCAUAAAAGGCGUUGGUUGAUAUAGACAGCAGGACGG
Molecule: ribosomal RNA, 1151 nt
Filed under: Mammomonogamus sp. 3 BC-2018
Lineage: Eukaryota; Metazoa; Nematoda; Chromadorea; Rhabditida; Syngamidae
Description: eukaryotic LSU rRNA
Rfam family: Eukaryotic large subunit ribosomal RNA
Source: RNAcentral